This 750-nucleotide small RNA is filed under the name Pongo abelii (Sumatran orangutan). RNAcentral describes it as "processed transcript". Lineage: Eukaryota; Metazoa; Chordata; Mammalia; Primates; Hominidae. The record is from RNAcentral.
GACAGAGUCCGUAUCGGAUAAAGAGGACAAACCACCCCUGGCAUCAGCAGGAGGCACUGAGGGGCCAGAGCAGCCCCCACCACCUUGCCCAAGCCAAACUGGCAGCCCCCCAGUGGGCCUCAUCAAGGGAGAAGACAAAGAUGAGGGCCCUGUUGCUGAACAAGUAAAGAAAUCAACGUUGAACCCUAAUGCUAAGGAGUUCAAUCCUACAAAGCCUCUGCUGUCUGUGAAUAAAUCCACCAGUACCCCAACUUCUCCGGGGCCCCGGACUCAUUCAACUCCCUCCAUCCCGGUGCUGACAGCAGGCCAGAGUGGGCUAUACAGCCCCCAGUACAUCUCAUACAUACCUCAGAUCCACAUGGGACCAGCUGUGCAGGCACCUCAAAUGUAUCCAUAUCCUGUAUCCAAUUCAGUGCCUGGGCAGCAGGGCAAGUACCGGGGAGCAAAAGCGCUCGGACCAACACCAGCCAGCCUCAGCCCCGCCAAUGAUGCAGGCCGCCGCGGCUGCUGGCCCGCCUCUGGUGGCUGCCACGCCCUAUUCUUCCUACAUCCCCUACAACCCUCAGCAGUUCCCAGGCCAGCCGGCCAUGAUGCAGCCCAUGGCCCACUACCCCUCACAGCCGGUGUUUGCCCCCAUGCUUCAGAGCAACCCACGCAUGCUGACAUCGGGCAGCCAUCCCCAGGCCAUUGUGUCAUCCUCUACCCCUCAGUACCCUUCUGCAGAGCAGCCCACCCCCCAGGCCCUUUAUG